RNAcentral lists this transfer RNA (69 nucleotides) under Babylonia borneensis. RNAcentral's name for it is "tRNA-Asn". Lineage: Eukaryota; Metazoa; Mollusca; Gastropoda; Neogastropoda; Buccinidae. The record is from RNAcentral.
UAAGUGGAGGCCAAAUUAGAGGUAUCUAACUGUUAAUUAGAAGAUUGUAAAAUAUUUUUACCCAUUUAG